Molecule: ribosomal RNA, 1282 nt
Filed under: Microbacterium profundi
Lineage: Bacteria; Bacillati; Actinomycetota; Actinomycetes; Micrococcales; Microbacteriaceae
Description: bacterial SSU rRNA
Source: RNAcentral
GAGCCCAGCUUGCUGGGUGGAUCAGUGGCGAACGGGUGAGUAACACGUGAGCAACCUGCCCCUGACUCUGGGAUAAGCGCUGGAAACGGCGUCUAAUACUGGAUACRAGACGUGACCGCAUGGUCAACGUUUGGAAAGAUUUUUCGGUUGGGGAUGGGCUCGCGGCCUAUCAGCUUGUUGGUGAGGUAAUGGCUCACCAAGGCGUCGACGGGUAGCCGGCCUGAGAGGGUGACCGGCCACACUGGGACUGAGACACGGCCCAGACUCCUACGGGAGGCAGCAGUGGGGAAUAUUGCACAAUGGGCGGAAGCCUGAUGCAGCAACGCCGCGUGAGGGAUGACGGCCUUCGGGUUGUAAACCUCUUUUAGCAGGGAARAAGCGAAAGUGACGGUACCUGCARAAAAAGCGCCGGCUAACUACGUGCCAGCAGCCGCGGUAAUACGUAGGGCGCAAGCGUUAUCCGGAAUUAUUGGGCGUAAAGAGCUCGUAGGCGGUUUGUCGCGUCUGCUGUGAAAUCUGGGGGCUCAACCCCCAGCCUGCAGUGGGUACGGGCAGACUAGAGUGCGGUAGGGGAGAUUGGAAUUCCUGGUGUAGCGGUGGAAUGCGCAGAUAUCAGGAGGAACACCGAUGGCGAAGGCAGAUCUCUGGGCCGUAACUGACGCUGAGGAGCGAAAGGGUGGGGAGCAAACAGGCUUAGAUACCCUGGUAGUCCACCCCGUAAACGUUGGGAACUAGUUGUGGGGUCCAUUCCACGGAUUCCGUGACGCAGCUAACGCAUUAAGUUCCCCGCCUGGGGAGUACGGCCGCAAGGCUAAAACUCAAAGGAAUUGACGGGGACCCGCACAAGCGGCGGAGCAUGCGGAUUAAUUCGAUGCAACGCGAAGAACCUUACCAAGGCUUGACAUAUACGAGAACGGGCCAGAAAUGGUCAACUCUUUGGACACUCGUAAACAGGUGGUGCAUGGUUGUCGUCAGCUCGUGUCGUGAGAUGUUGGGUUAAGUCCCGCAACGAGCGCAACCCUCGUUCUAUGUUGCCAGCACGUAAUGGUGGGAACUCAUGGGAUACUGCCGGGGUCAACUCGGAGGAAGGUGGGGAUGACGUCAAAUCAUCAUGCCCCUUAUGUCUUGGGCUUCACGCAUGCUACAAUGGCCGGUACAAAGGGCUGCAAUACCGCGAGGUGGAGCGAAUCCCAAAAAGCCGGUCCCAGUUCGGAUUGAGGUCUGCAACUCGACCUCAUGAAGUCGGAGUCGCUAGUAAUCGCAGAUCAGCAASGCUGCGGUG